This 1486-nucleotide long non-coding RNA is filed under the name Equus asinus (donkey). Its description in RNAcentral is "lncRNA (ENSEASG00005026404.1)". Lineage: Eukaryota; Metazoa; Chordata; Mammalia; Perissodactyla; Equidae. The record is from RNAcentral.
GCCAGGCCCACAUUCUUCACGAUCGUCAGCAUUAUCGGCACGAAGGCGAGGAGGCUCGCGGGCUCAGGGAGUCCUGCCUCCUGCCAGCAGGGAGGCCACCUCUGCGGCCUCAGCACUGUGGCCUGUCCAGUGUCGAGGGCAGAGCCCCAGUUCCUGCCUUGGGUGAGGGCUGGGUGUGCUGUGGAGGGAGUAGCGCCAUGUGAAGGAGGAGCCAGGCACUGGGACAGCGGCCACCAAAGGCCUGGGGCAGGUUUCACCUCCGAGCCCCCGAAGGGGAAGAAUGACACCCUCCUCCCAGGGCCCAGCGAGGAAGAAAAGCCACUUGGUGUGAGAAGGCUGCCUCUCCGCGCGGUGCAGACGGCGCCCGGAGCCUGCAGAGGGAGCGUGUGCAGGAAUGUGCGAUCUCCCCUGGCAACUUCAGCUCUACCAGGAAAACUGCUCGCCGUGAUAUGUGAAGAAACUGAUGCCUCAGGAAGGAAUCUACCCACGGGGGCAGGCGGGGCCGACGGAGAUGCCAGGCCGUGAUCUAGAGGCCUGCUCCAUCAGGACCAGAGUGUGAGCCUGGGCGCUGGGCCUGUCCUGCAGGUCCGCGCCUCGCUCACCCCUGGCUUACAGUGCAGACCACUUCCCUCAUUUAGACUCAGAUGGCUCCCACAUUUGUAUCUCCUGCCCAGACCUGCUCCCUAAGCUCAGCUCCACCUGCCUACGUGGUCCUCCCCCAGCGAGGUCCCUUCUGGGACCGUCUCAGCCCAGCCCCGGGCAGUGGUCCCUCGCUUGACACCCCAGUACCCCCAGCCCGCCCAAACCAGUGCCCGCUGCAGCCCAGGGAGGCUCUCAAGUGCGGCUCUGACCCCACUGCCCCGUGCAGCGCUGCGCCGGCGUCCCACUGCUCCACGGAUGGAGACUGGCUCCUUGCAUGGUGGCCCCGUGAUCCCUGCAGCGUCACUGUGCACGAACCCCUCGCUGACCCCCAGCCGCUCUGGCCUUCAGCUGGGCAGAAGGGACUGUGUGGCACUGAGCUUCUGCCUUGCUGUGCCCUCCCCCAGGGGCAGAGGUCAGAAGCCCCUUCCUUAGGGCUGUGCAAGAGACUUUGGACACCCGUGUGGUCCCACGUCCUUGAUCUCCACACACUGGGCUGCUCACAAACCACUGCCCCGCAGAAGGCACACAGGAGAGGGGGCAGGAAAGGGGCAUUGUGACCGUGUGAGACAGGCUCAGCUCCAGUGAGGCCUCCACUCCCGCCCCUACAGGUUCCAGGGCCUCCGUCCCUCUUGGGUAGUAAAUGUCCACUGGUCACUUAUGGUCACAAGAGCAGCUUCCUUUAGCACGUGAAAUACCCGGUUCUUGCCCGGGAUAAAAUGACGUGCUCAGACCUGUCUGGGCGGGGAAGCUUAGGGUAUGCAGAGAUCCUCAAAUGUUUGUUUAUACAGAUUCCAAUUCUCCUUGAAAUUCUCCAGCUGUUAAUCUACUUUCUUCAUUGUUUCCU